Molecule: ribosomal RNA, 253 nt
Filed under: uncultured bacterium
Lineage: Bacteria
Description: partial 16S ribosomal RNA
Rfam family: Bacterial small subunit ribosomal RNA
Source: RNAcentral
UACGUAGGGCGCAAGCGUUGUCCGGAAUCAUUGGGCGUAAAGCGCGCGUAGGUGGCCUCGUACGUCCGCUGUGAAAGUCCAAGGCUCAACCUUGGAACGCCGGUGGAUACUGUGAGGCUAGAGUACGGUAGAGGCGAGUGGAAUUCCUGGUGUAGCGGUGGAAUGCGCAGAUAUCAGGAGGAACACCAAUAGCGAAGGCAGCUCGCUGGGACGUUACUGACACUGAGGCGCGAAAGCGUGGGGAGCGAACAGG